AGGUAUCAGCUUUGCAUCGCUCCGCGUGCUCUGCAGAGAGGGACCCCAUUCACUGCUCUGCUGCAAAUGCUUACCACCAAGUUACCUGGCUGGACGACAGACACAAGCACAAGAAAUUGGGAAAUUAACCUGAAGUGAACAAUCACAGAGGAUUAUUGAAUGAAGAAGGCUUUCUUACUGUGUGAGACAAUCCAUCUGCAGCUAUGCAAAUGCUCUGAGUUUCACAGAAGGUCUAAGUGUGAAACCAGAAAAAGAUGCACAUAUUCCCCAGAAGAACGACAACAUGCAGAAGAGCACAACCCAAGUGCAGCAGUCAGCUGGUUUUAAGUGUGCUCCAGGAACAAGAACUCCAGCAUAUGAGGCAAAGAGAUAACAGCUGAGGAGCAGACAGAAUCACGUUUCUGCUCUCCUCCUCCUUCGUGCAUCAGCCAGCCUCACAGGCUACGUAUCUGAGCAGUGGUGAAAGGGAACAGAAGAAACGCUGCACCAAGGACUCACAGCGGCUCGGAUCGGUAAACUACUCUAAACCCAGUGAAGCCAAAAGACUCCAGCAAAGUACUCUUUUACUCUCUUUAUAAAAUAUG
RNAcentral lists this long non-coding RNA (584 nucleotides) under Dromaius novaehollandiae (emu). RNAcentral's name for it is "lncRNA (ENSDNVG00000002703.1)". Lineage: Eukaryota; Metazoa; Chordata; Aves; Casuariiformes; Dromaiidae. The record is from RNAcentral.